This 301-nucleotide ribosomal RNA is filed under the name uncultured bacterium. Its description in RNAcentral is "partial 16S ribosomal RNA". It matches the Rfam family "Bacterial small subunit ribosomal RNA", at positions 509 to 807 of the family's 1533-position model. The record is from RNAcentral.
CAGCCGCCGCGGGAAUACGGAGGGGGCUAGCGUUGUUCGGAAUUACUGGGCGUAAAGCGCACGUAGGCGGCUUUGUAAGUUAGAGGUGAAAGCCCGGAGCUCAACUCCGGAAUUGCCUUUAAGACUGCAGAGCUAGCAGGUGAGAGAGGUGAGUGGAAUUCCGAGUGUAGAGGUGAAAUUCGUAGAUAUUCGGAAGAACACCAGUGGCGAAGGCGGCCAUCUGGGACAACACUGACGCUGAGGCACGAAAGCGUGGGGAGCAAACAGGAUUAGAUACCCCCGUAGUCCCUGUCUCUUAUAC